This 63-nucleotide transfer RNA is filed under the name Scolytoplatypus wugongshanensis. RNAcentral describes it as "tRNA-Leu". The record is from RNAcentral. Lineage: Eukaryota; Metazoa; Arthropoda; Insecta; Coleoptera; Curculionidae.
UCUAAUAUGGCAGAAUAGUGCAAUGAACUUAAACUUCAACUAUAAAGAUUUCUUUUUUUAGAA